UGAUCAAAUAAUUCAUGUCCAGCAAACUUACAGUGAAAACAAUAACAUGGAAGUUAAACAAUGGUGUAUGAAAACUGAAAGUGAAAAGAAUAGCGUCUGAAAAAUGAAAGCUAAAACAAGAGAUAUAGCUAGAGAGA
Octopus sinensis (East Asian common octopus) is the source of this 137-nucleotide long non-coding RNA. RefSeq lists it as uncharacterized. The transcript is spliced from 4 exons. Lineage: Eukaryota; Metazoa; Mollusca; Cephalopoda; Octopoda; Octopodidae. The record is from RefSeq and is a predicted model, not a curated record.